GCCUGGCUUGCUCAGUUGGUGGAGCACGCAACUCUUGAUCUCAGGGUCAUGAGUUCAAGUCUCAUGUUGGGCA
RNAcentral lists this transfer RNA (73 nucleotides) under Felis catus (domestic cat). It matches the Rfam family "tRNA". Rfam says of the family: Transfer RNA (tRNA) molecules are approximately 80 nucleotides in length. Their secondary structure includes four short double-helical elements and three loops (D, anti-codon, and T loops). Further hydrogen bonds mediate the characteristic L-shaped molecular structure. tRNAs have two regions of fundamental functional importance: the anti-codon, which is responsible for specific mRNA codon recognition, and the 3' end, to which the tRNAs corresponding amino acid is attached (by aminoacyl-tRNA synthetases). tRNAs cope with the degeneracy of the genetic code in two manners: having more than one tRNA (with a specific anti-codon) for a particular amino acid; and 'wobble' base-pairing, i.e. permitting non-standard base-pairing at the 3rd anti-codon position. Lineage: Eukaryota; Metazoa; Chordata; Mammalia; Carnivora; Felidae. The record is from Rfam by way of RNAcentral.